CUCUUUUGCACGUGAACAUUCAGAACACACGUUAUUCGUGUAUAUCUUUGUGACUGAUAGACUCACAAGUAGUCUAUAACGUGUUGAUAACGUGUCAAGUAACGACAAAGGUAUACACGUACAAGGUGUGUUUCUGAAUAUUUACGUGUAAAGAA
Molecule: unclassified non-coding RNA, 155 nt
Filed under: Brassica rapa (field mustard)
Lineage: Eukaryota; Viridiplantae; Streptophyta; Magnoliopsida; Brassicales; Brassicaceae
Source: RNAcentral